AUGACACCCUCUCGUCCCCUCUCAUCCUCUCCAGGGACAGGCAGCAAGCACGAAUUUCAUGGAGGUGCCAGAAAGCCCCCGACGUUUUCUAACAGGUGGAAAGUAUGCUACCUAGUGCACAUUCAGCGUUCAAAGAAGUUGGCUGAAUACAGAAGCCAGUGGUCAUCAGAGGAAGACGCACCCACAUUAGGCAACCUCUUCCAGUCCCCAGAGUCAACACCGUGUCCCCAAGAACUCUCCGUCAUUUCACAAGAGAAGUUGUGGCCAGGACACAGGGCAAAGAUCUCCAAGACACGGAGAACUUCAUGGAUCCCAGGCACUGCCUCUCCUUUACAAGGAGACCUGGGCGAGCCCCAUGUUUCUAGGCCUCAAUUCCUCAUCUGUAAAAUGAGGGGGUUGAAUUAGUUUCUAAAGCUCCUUCCAGCUCUAAGAUGCUGUGCUAGAAAAUGAGAGAAAUGUGAGCCUUUGGUUGCUAUGAUCUGAAAAUAUUUUGAAUGUGGAGAAUCAAAUUGUACAGCAGCGCAGGAACAAAAUAAUAUGUUAAUGACUAAGAAGAUUGUAUUUAAUCCAAUGGCAAACAGCAGAGCAACUACUGCUGGUGGUGGUGAUGUGUGUGUGUGUGUGUGUGUGUGUGUGUGUGUGUGUGUGUGUGUGUGCCUUCCUUCCUUGAGCUCAAACAUAUAUUUUAAGUCACUGAUAAAGUAAUCCGGCCUCUGGAAGCCUAUCGUACCCAAAUACACACACACACACACACACACACACACACACACGUGCGCGCGCGCGCGCGCGCAUAUACCACUUUAAAAGGGGAGAAGUUCCACCACCGCUGUUUACAUCCUUGUUGUAUUUUGGGUGGCUUUUUUUUUUUUUUAAAGAAAUUUUUGUCCUGGUAAAGGUAUUGGAUUAACAACCCCUGGAGGCCUCUGAUCUCAGAACUGGGACAUGUGGGCGUGGGCUGGGAGCUGGGGGUUUUAUAAGCAUUGCGCUUUUGCACACCAACAGCCCCCUCCUCAGCCGUCACAAUCCGGCCAAGCAGCACGGCCCGGGACCUUCAACCUGGUCGUAGUCAGAUCGGCCACCCCAGAAGCGAGCUCGGGGACCCUACCAGCGGGGGCGGAAAAUGGACGCGCACCUGGGGACGUGUCUGGCGGGCCCGGCGGCAGGAAGGGUUAGGCCCCCAACCUCUCUCUUGCCAGAGGUUCGGGGCCCGG
This 1211-nucleotide long non-coding RNA is filed under the name Sus scrofa (pig). RNAcentral describes it as "lncRNA (ENSSSCG00005007100.1)". Lineage: Eukaryota; Metazoa; Chordata; Mammalia; Artiodactyla; Suidae. The record is from RNAcentral.